CCCCAUAGGGGAGGUAGGAGAGGUUGCGGGGGAUAGAAGAGGGCGACGGGUAGCAGCUGUUGAGGCUCAGUGUUUAUGAGGGGAGUUUCGUACAGACACUGUGAGAGAAGAGGCCUAGAAAUGUUUGGCGGAAGCGGAAUAUAAGGAUUUGGGUUAUAAAGGAUGAUGCUUUGAGGGAGAGGAGGAGAAAGGGGGCUUUUGCAGGGGAGUUGAAAGCAGUAAUGGUUUGUUCACAAGGAUUACAAAAGCCUUUCUUAGUGGAAGUAGAACGGGUUCUUGAAUGACUGGUGGUAACAGCAGCAAUAUCGAUGAAAGGAUCAUAGAUGUGUGUGCCUCUGGAAGAAGAGGGUGGAAGAGAGGGGUGAAGGUUUUGCAUUUAAGAAGGGAGGCUAGAUGCAUUUCUUUGUGGGAGGAGGAAAAAUGUAGGGUGGAAAUAAUAAUAGUGUAGGUAUAGCUGGUGAUCUCAUGGAGAGAAGUGAUUAAUCAAUUCCUGGAGCAACAAAGUGAAGAGAGCAGCUAUUUAAGCAGCUUGGGUUUAUGUGAAUUGUCAGAGAGCAGGUUAAGAUUCCAGUUGCAUCUGAGCUGAAGUCUCUACAGAGUCUGCUAUUUUUGGUAGCAAUGUGGAGCAGCAACAAAAGAGGAAGCGUGGUGGGAGAGUAAGCAUUCAGAACCUUCAGUUAAUGUAAUGUAUUAAAUGAAGCCAAGGGUAUGUAGUAACAGCAAAAGACUCCCUUAAAGACUACACUCCAACGCCGGGUAAAAAUUGACUUGCAGUGAUUUAGGAAAAUAGAUAGGUUUUCAGGAGGCAACUGGGGAAAGGAGUUGCCAAAACAAAGACAAACCAAACCAACUACAUAUAAAGAGUGAAGUACUACUUUUCCAGAGGCACAGGAUUCAGCUAAUUCUAGAUAUGACUAGCGAUAUGAAGGAAAGGAUGAUCUUAGCUGCACCUGGAAGAUGCCUUUGAGGGUGAAAAAAUAAUUCAGUAGCCCAUGUUCACUCAGCCCAAAGAUCCUCUUGAUAGAAGAUUUCUAGUCAAAAUGACUGAAUGGCCUCAGAACAAUGUUGGAAAUGACAAUCUUUCAUACUAGGCAGUAUAGCUUCAUGGAUAAAGGACUGGAUUGGGACUCAGGAGACCUGGAUUCUAUUCCUGGUUCUGCCACAGGCUUAUUGGGAAAGUCAUUUCACCUUUCUGGAUAUCACUUGUAACAUGGAGAUGAUGAUGCUGACCUCCUUUGUAAAGCACUUUGAGAGCUACUGAUCAUAGGAGCUGACUCCAUGGGUGUUCCUGAGCUGGCGCAUCCACGGGAAAAAAAAAUAGUGGGUGCUUAGCACCCACCGGCAGCCCUUCCACCCUCCGUCCCACUGGCAGCCUCCC
Malaclemys terrapin pileata is the source of this 1378-nucleotide long non-coding RNA. RefSeq lists it as uncharacterized. NCBI's taxonomy places the organism in Eukaryota, Metazoa, Chordata, Testudines, Emydidae. The transcript has 3 exons. The record is from RefSeq and is a predicted model, not a curated record.